This 1026-nucleotide ribosomal RNA is filed under the name Fusarium cf. solani CBS 2012. RNAcentral's name for it is "eukaryotic LSU rRNA". The stretch from base 480 to 1026 matches the Rfam family "Eukaryotic large subunit ribosomal RNA", at positions 1 to 559 of the family's 3401-position model. The record is from RNAcentral. Lineage: Eukaryota; Fungi; Ascomycota; Sordariomycetes; Hypocreales; Nectriaceae.
CCGAGUUAUACAACUCAUCAACCCUGUGAACAUACCUAAACGUUGCUUCGGCGGGAACAGACGGCCCCGUAACACGGGCCGCCCCCGCCAGAGGACCCCCUAACUCUGUUUCUAUAAUGUUUCUUCUGAGUAAAACAAGCAAAUAAAUUAAAACUUUCAACAACGGAUCUCUUGGCUCUGGCAUCGAUGAAGAACGCAGCGAAAUGCGAUAAGUAAUGUGAAUUGCAGAAUUCAGUGAAUCAUCGAAUCUUUGAACGCACAUUGCGCCCGCCAGUAUUCUGGCGGGCAUGCCUGUUCGAGCGUCAUUACAACCCUCAGGCCCCCGGGCCUGGCGUUGGGGAUCGGCGGAGCCCCCCGCGGGCACACGCCGUCCCCCAAAUACAGUGGCGGUCCCGCCGCAGCUUCCAUUGCGUAGUAGCUAACACCUCGCAACUGGAGAGCGGCGCGGCCACGCCGUAAAACCCCCAACUUCUGAACGUUGACCUCGAAUCAGGUAGGAAUACCCGCUGAACUUAAGCAUAUCAAUAAGCGGAGGAAAAGAAACCAACAGGGAUUGCCCUAGUAACGGCGAGUGAAGCGGCAACAGCUCAAAUUUGAAAUCUGGCUCUCGGGCCCGAGUUGUAAUUUGUAGAGGAUGCUUUUGGUGAGGUGCCUUCCGAGUUCCCUGGAACGGGACGCCACAGAGGGUGAGAGCCCCGUCUGGUUGGACACCGAUCCUCUGUAAAGCUCCUUCGACGAGUCGAGUAGUUUGGGAAUGCUGCUCUAAAUGGGAGGUAUAUGUCUUCUAAAGCUAAAUACCGGCCAGAGACCGAUAGCGCACAAGUAGAGUGAUCGAAAGAUGAAAAGAACUUUGAAAAGAGAGUUAAAAAGUACGUGAAAUUGUUGAAAGGGAAGCGCUUGUGACCAGACUUGGGCUUGGUUGAUCAUCCAGGGUUCUCCCUGGUGCACUCUUCCGGCCCAGGCCAGCAUCAGUUCGCCCCGGGGGAAAAAGGCUUCGGGAAUGUGGCUCUCUCCGGGGAGUGUUAU